Molecule: long non-coding RNA, 511 nt
Organism: Denticeps clupeoides (denticle herring)
Lineage: Eukaryota; Metazoa; Chordata; Actinopteri; Clupeiformes; Denticipitidae
Source: Ensembl
CAUUGCACGUGUAAACACAUGAACACUGGUCUGUCUGCAGGUGAAUGGAUGCAAUGUGACCUUGGUGUCAGAUGACGUGGCUAUGAGCAUCCUGCGUUCGUCCUCAAAACACCUCAAUAUGGUUCUCGGACGUGCUGUACAGAACCUCAUUGCUCCGCCCCCUCCAGAAUGCCUGCCCGACAUCAUUCUGCACAAAAAACCCAGUGGACAGCUUGGGAUCAAACUGACUGGGGGCAUCGGCAGCAAGUGGCAGGGCAUCUAUGUGGUGGAGGUGGUGCCUAAUUCCCCCGCAAGCGAAGAGGGCAGUAUUCAACCAAAUGACAAGAUCCUAUACAUCUGCGGCAAGUGCACCAUGGGAAUGUCCCUGGAAGAUGCCGUAAAGAGCUGUGAGAACACAACGCACAAAGUGAAGCUGAAGGCUCUGAGAGAAGACCAGCCUGUGACACCCAAGGCAAAAUGGAAUGGUAUGUAUUCACGUACAUUGACUAUUUGCCAGUAUAAAAUGUAUUAA